RNAcentral lists this small RNA (28 nucleotides) under Bombyx mori (domestic silkworm). RNAcentral describes it as "ovarian small RNA-11207". Lineage: Eukaryota; Metazoa; Arthropoda; Insecta; Lepidoptera; Bombycidae. The record is from RNAcentral.
ACCAAUGAUAUCUUAUGGAAGGAGGGCC